GUCCACGCCGUAAACGAUGAUAACUAGUUGUUAGCGAUAUACUGUUAGCGACACAGCGAAAGCAUUAAGUUAUCCACCUGGGGAGUACGAUCGCAAGAUUGAAACUCAAAGGAAUUGACGGGGGCCCGCACAAGCGGAGGAACAUGUGGUUUAAUUCGAUGAUACGCGAGGAACCUUACCUGGGCUUGAAAGUUAGUGACGGAUGCCGAAAGGUGUCUUCCCAGCAAUGGGCACGAAACUAGGUGCUGCAUGGUUGUCGU
RNAcentral lists this ribosomal RNA (260 nucleotides) under uncultured bacterium. RNAcentral's name for it is "partial 16S ribosomal RNA". It matches the Rfam family "Bacterial small subunit ribosomal RNA", at positions 793 to 1055 of the family's 1533-position model. The record is from RNAcentral.